Molecule: long non-coding RNA, 796 nt
Filed under: Equus asinus (donkey)
Lineage: Eukaryota; Metazoa; Chordata; Mammalia; Perissodactyla; Equidae
Description: lncRNA (ENSEASG00005027229.1)
Source: RNAcentral
CAGGCCUGCGGCUUCUCCUGGGUCCCUGCCUGCUGCGUGGCGCCUCUCCCGACCGAAGGAGCGCAGCAGCCUCGGGACCCAAUUCAUGCAUACAUGGUGUAAGAAAACAAUGUGAAACUUGGUGUCAGAAACAGAUGUGAAACUUGAUUUAAGAAACAGAAGUGAAACUUGAUUUAAGAAGCAGAAGUGAAACUUGAUUUAGGAAACGAUCGACAGGACUUCAGAAAACUCUGUGAAGCUUGAUUUAAGAAACAGAUGUGAAAGUUGAUUUAAGAAACGAUCGACACGACUUCAGAAAACUAUGUGAAACUUGAUUUAAGAGAAACCAGUUCGACUGAUGUGGAAGACUCCGACCAUGUGGAAACGGAGCCUGUUGGGCCUUCCUCCAGGACUGACAGUUGAAACGAUCGAUGGAAUGAUCAGCGCAAACAGAAAAUAUUACUGUUACUGUAAUAUUAUAUGAUAUUCUCUAUAUCUAAGAUAUAUAUUAUAUAUAUGAUGUAAGAUAAGAUAUAUAUUAAAUAUAUAAUGUAAUAUAUAUUAUAUAACAUGUACUAUAUAUAUAUAUAUAUAUAUAUACACACACACACACAUAUGUAUCACGUAAUAUAUAUAUAUAAUGUAAUAUAAUAUUGCUGUUACUGGAAAGAUGACCGCAAGAAGUUGAUUUUUUAUCUACCAGAAGUUUUCUUCGCUGUGUUUUUAAUUGGCGAUUUGCUUUGAUCGUUUUGUUCGCUCCAGCUGUUUUGAGAAGAAUGAUUUGAAAGUGAGCCAAAUAAAGUGUUCUUAAAUGGAA